CAGAGAGUAGUUUUAAUCUUGGUAGAAUGCCAGCUUUGGGUGCUGGUGGUGGCGGAUCGACGCCGCCCUCUCUGA
RNAcentral lists this transfer RNA (75 nucleotides) under Sillago sp. 2 SS-2021. Its description in RNAcentral is "tRNA-Pro". It matches the Rfam family "tRNA". From Rfam's summary of the family: Transfer RNA (tRNA) molecules are approximately 80 nucleotides in length. Their secondary structure includes four short double-helical elements and three loops (D, anti-codon, and T loops). The record is from RNAcentral. Lineage: Eukaryota; Metazoa; Chordata; Actinopteri; Sillaginidae.